This 409-nucleotide ribosomal RNA is filed under the name uncultured Ochrobactrum sp. RNAcentral's name for it is "bacterial SSU rRNA". It matches the Rfam family "Bacterial small subunit ribosomal RNA", at positions 54 to 515 of the family's 1533-position model. The record is from RNAcentral. Lineage: Bacteria; Pseudomonadati; Pseudomonadota; Alphaproteobacteria; Hyphomicrobiales; Brucellaceae.
CAUGCAGUCGAGCGCCACCCAGGGGAGCGGCCGACGGGUGAGUAACGCGUGGGAACGUACCUUUUGCUACGGAAUCCUCGGGAAACUUGUGCUAAUACCGUAUGUGCCCUUCGGGGGAAAGAUUUAUCGGCAAAGGAUCGGCCCGCGUUGGAUUACCUAGUUGGUGAGGUAAAGGCUCACCAAUGCGACGAUCCAUAGCUGGUCUGACAGGAUGAUCACCCACACUGGGACUGAGACACGGCCCANACUCCUACGGGAGGCAGCAAUGGGGAAUAUUGGACAAUGGGCGCAAGCCUGAUCCAGCCAUGCCGCGUGAGUGAUGAAGGCCCUAGGGUUGUAAAGCUCUUUCACCGGUGAAGAUAAUGACGGUAACUGGAGAAGAAGCCCCGGCUAACUUCGUGCCAGCAGC